AGUUUUGGACAAUGGGGGAAACCCUGAUCCAGCAAUGCCGCGUGCAGGAUGAAGGCCUUCGGGUUGUAAACUGCUUUUGUACGGACCGAAAAGUCUUUGGCUAAUGCCCUUGGAUCCUGACGGUACCGCAAGAAUAAGCCCCGCCUAAUUACGUGCCAGCAUCCGCGGUAAUACGCAGGGUGCAAGCGUUAAUCGGAAUUACUGGGCGUAAAGCGUGCGCAGGCGGUUUUGUAAGACAGUGGUGAAAUCCCCGGGCUCAACCUGGGAACUGCCAUUGUGACUGCAAGGCUGGAGUGCGGCAGAGGGGGAUGGAAUUCCGCGUGUAGCAGUGAAAUGCGUAGAUAUGCGGAGGAACACCGAUGGCGAAGGCAAUCCCCUGGGCCUGCACUGACGCUCAUGCACGAAAGCGUGGGGAGCAAACAGG
This 424-nucleotide ribosomal RNA is filed under the name uncultured bacterium. Its description in RNAcentral is "partial 16S ribosomal RNA". It matches the Rfam family "Bacterial small subunit ribosomal RNA", at positions 359 to 776 of the family's 1533-position model. The record is from RNAcentral.